This 253-nucleotide ribosomal RNA is filed under the name uncultured bacterium. RNAcentral's name for it is "partial 16S ribosomal RNA". It matches the Rfam family "Bacterial small subunit ribosomal RNA", at positions 524 to 776 of the family's 1533-position model. The record is from RNAcentral.
UACGUAGGGUGCAAGCGUUGUCCGGAAUUAUUGGGCGUAAAGAGCUCGUAGGCGGCUUGUCGCGUCGACCGUGAAAACUUGGGGCUCAACCCUAAGCCUGCGGUCGAUACGGGCAGGCUAGAGUUCGGUAGGGGAGACUGGAAUUCCUGGUGUAGCGGUGAAAUGCGCAGAUAUCAGGAGGAACACCGGUGGCGAAGGCGGGUCUCUGGGCCGAUACUGACGCUGAGGAGCGAAAGCGUGGGGAGCGAACAGG